AGUGAACGCUGGCGGUAGGCCUAACACAUGCAAGUCGAACGGCAGCACAGUAAGGGCUUGCUCUUACGGGUGGCGAGUGGCGGACGGGUGAGGAAUACAUCGGAAUCUACUUUUUCGUGGGGGAUAACGUAGGGAAACUUACGCUAAUACCGCAUACGACCUACGGGUGAAAGCAGGGGAUCUUCGGACCUUGCGCGAUUGAAUGAGCCGAUGUCGGAUUAGCUAGUUGGCGGGGUAAAGGCCCACCAAGGCGACGAUCCGUAGCUGGUCUGAGAGGAUGAUCAGCCACACUGGAACUGAGACACGGUCCAGACUCCUACGGGAGGCAGCAGUGGGGGAUAUUGGACAAUGGGCGCAAGCCUGAUCCAGCCAUACCGCGUGGGUGAAGAAGGCCUUCGGGUUGUAAAGCCCUUUUGUUGGGAAAGAAAAGCAGCAGGUUAAUACCCCGCUGUUCUGACGGUACCCAAAGAAUAAGCACCGGCUAACUUCGUG
Molecule: ribosomal RNA, 492 nt
Filed under: uncultured bacterium
Lineage: Bacteria
Description: partial 16S ribosomal RNA
Rfam family: Bacterial small subunit ribosomal RNA
Source: RNAcentral